AGUGAACGCUGGCGGCAUGCCUAACACAUGCAAGUCGAACGGCAGCAUGAUCUGGCCUUGUAGAUUCGUGUCGAGUGUGGAGCACGGGUGUAAUACACCUGGACGUGCACUGUUGCGUGGGGGAACUAGUCGAGAGAUUAGCGAUUACCGCAUACAAGCUGUGGGGGAGAGAGCAGGACCUCAUGGCCCCUUGCGAGAGGAACUGCGGAUGUCUGAUUAGCUAGUUGGUGAGGUAAAGGCGCACCAAGGCGACGAUCAGUAGCUGGUCUGAGAGGAGGAUCAGCCACACUGGAACUGAGACACGGCCCAGACUCCUACGGGAGGCAGCAGUGGGGAAUUUUGGACAAUGGGCGCAAGCCUGAUCCAGCAAUGCCGCGUGUGUGAAGAAGGCCUUCGGGUUGUAAAGCACUUUUGUCCGGAAAGAAAAGGAGCUGGUUAAUACCCGGCGUUGCUGACGGUACCGGAAGAAUAAGGACCGGCUAACUACGUG
RNAcentral lists this ribosomal RNA (490 nucleotides) under uncultured bacterium. Its description in RNAcentral is "partial 16S ribosomal RNA". It matches the Rfam family "Bacterial small subunit ribosomal RNA", at positions 29 to 507 of the family's 1533-position model. The record is from RNAcentral.